UAUUGUAUUAUUGAGAUUAUCUUUUAGGUGGAUACCUGUGGAAAUUCUAGAGCUAAUACAUGUUACAAAUUAUAUGUUCUCGUAAUAUAUAAAGCUUUUAUUUUUACCAAAACAAAGUGUUUCUGCACUAUGGGUGAUUCAUAAUAAUGCUUCAAGAUCGUUUUACAACUGACUAUUCAUUCAAGUUUCUGACCUAUCAGUUAGUCAGUAGUGUAUUGGACUAUUGAGGCAUUGACGGGUAACAGAGAAUUAGGGUUCUGUUCCGGAGAGGGCGCCUGAGAAACAGCUACUACA
RNAcentral lists this ribosomal RNA (294 nucleotides) under uncultured eukaryote. Its description in RNAcentral is "partial 18S rRNA". It matches the Rfam family "Eukaryotic small subunit ribosomal RNA", at positions 111 to 414 of the family's 1831-position model. The record is from RNAcentral.